Amphimedon queenslandica is the source of this 72-nucleotide non-coding RNA. The record is from the annotation of a RefSeq genome assembly. Lineage: Eukaryota; Metazoa; Porifera; Demospongiae; Haplosclerida; Niphatidae.
UGGGGAAUAUAUCAACGGUAGAUUAUCUGUUUUGGGAAUGGAAGGUUGUGGGUUCGAAUCCCGCUUCCCCAA